This 253-nucleotide ribosomal RNA is filed under the name uncultured bacterium. RNAcentral's name for it is "partial 16S ribosomal RNA". It matches the Rfam family "Bacterial small subunit ribosomal RNA", at positions 524 to 776 of the family's 1533-position model. The record is from RNAcentral.
UACAGGGGGUGCAAACGUUGCUCGGAAUCAUUGGGCGUAAAGCGCACGUAGGCGGUCUGUUAUGUCGGAUGUGAAAGCCCUUGGCUUAACUGAGGAAGUGCAUCCGAAACUGGCAGGCUAGAGUACUAAAGAGGGUCGCGGAAUUCCCGGUGUAGAGGUGAAAUUCGUAGAUAUCGGGAGGAACACCGGUGGCGAAGGCGGCGACCUGGGUAGAUACUGACGCUGAGGUGCGAAAGCGUGGGGAGCGAACAGG